This 25-nucleotide microRNA is filed under the name Anopheles gambiae (African malaria mosquito). RNAcentral's name for it is "aga-miR-10360-5p". The record is from miRBase by way of RNAcentral. Lineage: Eukaryota; Metazoa; Arthropoda; Insecta; Diptera; Culicidae.
UAGUUGAGAAGACGCUGAGCCGCCC